UACGAAGGGUGCUAGCGUUGUUCGGAUUUACUGGGCGUAAAGCGCGCGUAGGCGGCGAUACAAGUCAGUGGUGAAAUCCCGGGGCUCAACCCCGGAAUUGCCUUUGAAACUGUAUUGCUAGAGUGUCGGAGGGGAUAGCGGAAUUCCUAAUGUAGAGGUGAAAUUCGUAGAUAUUAGGAGGAACACCGGUGGCGAAGGCGGCUAUCUGGACGACAACUGACGCUGAUGUGCGAAAGCGUGGGGAUCAAACAGG
This 253-nucleotide ribosomal RNA is filed under the name uncultured bacterium. RNAcentral's name for it is "partial 16S ribosomal RNA". It matches the Rfam family "Bacterial small subunit ribosomal RNA", at positions 524 to 776 of the family's 1533-position model. The record is from RNAcentral.